GAUGAAUGCUGGCGGCGUGCCUAACACAUGCAAGUCGAGCGGCAGCGCGAGUAGUUUACUACUUGGCGGCGAGCGGCGGACGGCUGAGUAACGCGUGGGAACAUGCCCCAAAGUGAGGAAUAACUGCCCGAAAGGGUAGCUAAUGCCGCAUAUGAUCUUCGGAUUAAAGGAUUUAUCCGCUUUGGGAGUGGCCUGCGUUAGAUUAGGUAGUUGGUAGGGUAAAAGCCUACCAAGCCUACGAUCUAUAGCUGGUCUGAGAGGAUGACCAGCCAGACUGGAACUGAGACACGGUCCAGACUCCUACGGGAGGCAGCAGUGAGGAAUCUUCCACAAUGGACGAAAGUCUGAUGGAGCAACGCCGCGUGCAGGAUGAAGGCCCUAGGGUCGUAAACUGCUUUUAUAAGUGAAGAAUAUGACGGUAACUUAUGAAUAAGCACCGGCUAACUACGUGCCAGCAGCCGCGGUCAUACGUAGGGUGCAAGCAUUAUCCGGAGUGACUGGGCGUAAAGAGUUGCGUAGGUGGUUUGUUAAGUGAAUAGUGAAAUCUGGAGGCUCAACCUCACAGACUAUUAUUCAAACUGGCAGACUCGAGAAUGGUAGAGGUAACUGGAAUUUCUAGUGUAGGAGUGAAAUCCGUAGAUAUUAGAAGGAACACCAAUGGCGUAGGCAGGUUACUGGACCAUUUCUGACACUGAUGCACGAAAGCGUGGGGAGCGAACCGGAUUAGAUACCCGGGUAGUCCACGCCGUAAACUAUGGAUACUAGCUGUUGGGGGUAUCGACCCCCCCAGUAGCGAAGCUAACGCGUUAAGUAUCCCGCCUGUGGA
This 826-nucleotide ribosomal RNA is filed under the name uncultured bacterium. Its description in RNAcentral is "bacterial SSU rRNA". It matches the Rfam family "Bacterial small subunit ribosomal RNA", at positions 28 to 879 of the family's 1533-position model. The record is from RNAcentral.